CGAGGACUCGCAUCCUGUCUGCUGCCUCAGAGAAUGUUGGUCUUGCAAACUGGGAUCGGUUGAGACGACCAUCUCUGGAUUUCCCAGCUCCGGCAGAAGGAGUUGCUGCUGGUCCUUUACAAGUUCCUUUGUUUCUGAUAAGCUCCACCGACAUGGACAUGUAGGUGUUUGACAAACACAUGAGGCCUCUUUGGAAGACAAUUCAAAUCAUCACCACUGCAAUUACAAAGAGCUGGCGCCUGAGGUUGGGAGCGCUGUGAAAUUCUCAGCAUUUGGCAUCCCUCCUGAACAGGGACAUCUCAUUUGAAAACCAGAUGGAAAGCUCUGGAAUGAAACAGGGUAAAGAAGUUGUCAAUCAACUAAGUAACUUACCUCAAAACUCCUUCAGAGGCUACCAUCAUUUGCCAAAAAGGACCUAACAGUCACACAUGAGAUCAACUGAAGUCAGCUCAUGAUCAACAGCACAGAGACCAGUGGGAAAGUCUGGUACCAGAGGACUUGAGGAAGCAAACCAUGAAGUAGCAGAUUAUUGAUCGUAAGAAUUUACAUGGAAAUGACAUGGAUUAUUUACCAUCCUCCCUGAUUUUAGAGAGAAAAACUUGGGCAUAGAAAUGUCAAGUCAUCAUUCCAAGUGCAAACUAAAUUCACAAGCAGGAAUCAAAAGGAAACCUUCAAUAUCAUCAUUUAACUGCCACCAGAUAUUGAGUGAUUACUGUGUGUCAAAUAUACUAUUAAGUGUUUUAAUACAUGAUCAAC
This is a non-coding RNA of Oryctolagus cuniculus (rabbit), 756 nucleotides long. The record is from RefSeq and is a predicted model, not a curated record. Lineage: Eukaryota; Metazoa; Chordata; Mammalia; Lagomorpha; Leporidae.